UUUACAGCACUCGUCAAUCUGCAUGGUGCAAGCCGCCGACCUCCCACUGCCGCCAUAGAUGUAAACUGGCGCAGGAGGGACCUUGUGGGGCAUGAAGGCAUUCACAACAUUGGCCCAGCACCCUGGUGUGUGUGUGUGUGUGUGUGUGUGUGUGUGUGUGUGUGUGUGUGUGUGUGUGUGUGUGUGUGUGUGUGUGUGUGUGUGUGUGUGUGUAAGUGCAUG
Molecule: long non-coding RNA, 222 nt
Filed under: Dunaliella salina
Lineage: Eukaryota; Viridiplantae; Chlorophyta; Chlorophyceae; Chlamydomonadales; Dunaliellaceae
Description: long non-coding RNA (DSAL_LNC000347)
Source: RNAcentral